UGGGGAAUAUUGGACAAUGGGGGGAACCCUGAUCCAGCCAUGCCGCGUGUGUGAAGAAGGCCUUUUGGUUGUAAAGCACUUUAAGCGAGGAGGAGGCUCUUCUAGUUAAUACCUAGGAUGAGUGGACGUUACUCGCAGAAUAAGCACCGGCUAACUCUGUGCCAGCAGCCGCGGUAAUACAGAGGGUGCGAGCGUUAAUCGGAUUUACUGGGCGUAAAGCGUACGUAGGCGGCUUUUUAAGUCGGAUGUGAAAUCCCUGAGCUUAACUUAGGAAUUGCAUUCGAUACUGGGAAGCUAGAGUAUGGGAGAGGAUGGUAGAAUUCCAGGUGUAGCGGUGAAAUGCGUAGAGAUCUGGAGGAAUACCGAUGGCGAAGGCAGCCAUCUGGCCUAAUACUGACGCUGAGGUACGAAAGCAUGGGGAGCAAACA
RNAcentral lists this ribosomal RNA (428 nucleotides) under uncultured prokaryote. RNAcentral describes it as "bacterial SSU rRNA". It matches the Rfam family "Bacterial small subunit ribosomal RNA", at positions 355 to 774 of the family's 1533-position model. The record is from RNAcentral.